Non-coding RNA from Meleagris gallopavo (turkey), 38042 nucleotides. The record is from RefSeq and is a predicted model, not a curated record. NCBI's taxonomy places the organism in Eukaryota, Metazoa, Chordata, Aves, Galliformes, Phasianidae.
CUCCAAGCUCCUUCUGUAGGCUUUCUGCCCGAGUGCAUCUUGGGAUUUCCCUUUUGCUGAAUGAGCUGCUUGUUCAAGAGGGAGGAAGUGAGGUCCCUUCUGGAUUAGGAGGGGAUGGGGGAGGAGGGCGGGGAGAUGGCCUGUUUCAUAUGCAAAGUGCAAUGAACUGGGGGGGAAAAAAGCAACAAAAAACACAUGGAAACCUAUUUAACAAAACCAUCCGUGUCACGGGCUGGCAGAGGAGCUGCUGGCUUUGUUGGGGAGAAACCUUUUAAAAAUGAGAUAAAGGUGGUUACUUUUUUUUUUUUUUAAUACCAGCUGAAGGAAAUAAAUAAAUGUCUCCUUAUGGUAGGUUCCUGUGAACAGAGCACGCAAUGAACUGAUGUGAUACCAACCUCCACAGCAGUCACGAGCUCACAGAGAUGUCUGUUGUGAUGUAUGCUUUCCUAAGGUUGGAAUUGAGGGAUGGCCACCAUUCUUUGGUCUUCCACAUCAGUAUCAGCUGUGUGUAAUUUGAUUUCAGUUACGUUUCUUCUACUCAGCCAAAUAAAUAUUUAGCAAAAGAAAAAAGGAACGUGGAUGUUCCAAUGUUAACAUAACGUUGCUUCAGUUGGGAGCAGUAAAGUCUGUGCAACAAAUGGUCAGUCGAGGGCUGAAGCUGUUUCUUUUUUCUGCAUUGAUGUUUCCUCAUUGAGGAUCGAAUGGAAAAGUUGCAGUGAUGCAAAAAGUAUGGAAGGCAGUGACACUUAUUGGGCAUCCUUGGAGCAAGACUUUGGAGGACUGGUGUCGUCCUCUGCACUUUUGGUCAUUUGUUAGCAAUGCAGAUGGCAGAUAUUUGCGUGUUGUCCUUGACUCUAGUUGAUCUUGCAGAAAUGAAUAUUACUGUUAAAAUAGCAACUGCUCAGAAUUAGCUGUCACGUUUUGAUGUUGUUUUUUUUUUUUAAUAAGCUGAAAAUCUUAGUUGAAAACUGCUAUUCCUUUCCAAAAUCGACAUUACUUUUUCCUGUUACUCUUGGUUUAUUUCUUAGCUGUCUUCUGUACAAGGAAGGGCUUGUGUAAUGCCCGAGCCAUUCCCAUUCCUCACUGAAUGAUAUGCAAAUCUAGUCAAUUAAGCAGGGGGGAUUUAAUUAGCAGUUUAAGUUCAUGUGUGAAGUGUCUUGCUUUAAUUACUUAACAGUUUUGUUGCAAAUUUGCUAAUUUUUUUUUCCUCAGAACUAUCGAAACUGUGAUAUUUUUUUUUUGUAACGUUUUCAAAUAGUGAGUAUUGCCCAGCAUGUCUGACCUUUGUACUGCUGUGCUGUGCGUGUCCCUUUAGUUGUAAGGGUCUUUUCAAUGCUGCGCAGAGAAAGCAAAGCUAUGUUUAUUGUUUCAGAACAAUACUUCAAAAAAAAAAAAAAUUUAGGAUUUUUGUGCUAAAAAUUUGGAUUGAAAGGCUGUCUGUUGUUCCUGCUCUCCUAGCUAGAUGAUACCAGUGUCGUGGUAUCUGUCUAACUGCCCCGUGUAGUUGCACUGCGUUAUAUUAAAUGGUUUCUUUUGUCCAGACAGAACUUGAAACAAGUGGCUUUUCUGCAUGGCUGCAGAACAUCAGCAUGUGGCUGUGUCAGCGUGGCUGCAGUGAUGGAAGUAACCCAGUGUUACAAGAAACAGGUUUGUGACAGUGCAGAACUAGGGCUGGUUUUUGUAUCCCCAUCUUUUUAUUUGAGAUGCCUGAGCAUGUGAGAGGGGGCACCAUUUACUCAGGUGAUACUGCGAAGGCCAUCCCUGCCUUUCUGAGUCACCUGUCAGGGUGGUGUUGUCUUGUGGCCUUGUUUGGCUUCUCAAAACGCGGAGGUGAUGCCGGGAAUAAGAGGAGACAUGAGAAGAAGAUGGAUUGAUUUCUGUGACUUCUUCCCUUAAUAACCCCAAAUCACAUGUUAAUGCAUCUCAGAUAUGAGUACACGACUGCACUUUCCUCUGGCUCAGCACAGCAGAUGGCCCAGCUGAGGCUCCUGGCGCCCUGCAAAUUGAGUAUAACUGGGUACAGAUCUGCUGUUUGGAUACCUGUUACCUGUUUGCAAAUAACAUUUAUCCCAGUGAUAGCAGAUACAUCAAAGGUAGAUCUGAAUUGCAAAGUAAAGUUUAUCAUCUGUUGUCAUUCAGGCAUGCUGGCUGUGGAGAACUUCCAGCUUCCAUGCACAGCCUGUAGGUAUUUCUCUCUUCCUUGCUCUCCACCUCCUCUCCCUAGGUUGCCAUAUAUCAGGAUGCUGCCAUAAAUGCACAUGAACAAAUAGGAAUGGUAACUCAUGAAAGGUUUGUAGGAUAUUUAGCCGUGAAGCACCAUGCUGUAAUGCAGCAUAUGAUUUGGAAGAUGCUGGUUUGGUACAGAGAACUUCCUCUGAGCUCCCAGCUGCAGUAUUUUAGAUGUUACAGAUAUAUCAUUUUACACAUUGCACUUCACAUGGAAGUCCAGAGAAAAAUUUAGAGAAACAUCUGUCUUGUCUGUCUUCAAAAGCAUCUUUAGGCAGUGGUCAGGUGAUAAGUGAAGGAGGUGAAGAAGCUAAUGUUAUUACAUGCAGAUCUGCCAUUAUUUAGCAGCCCCAAGGCUUGUUUCUUGCAGUAGCUGUAGUGUGCAGGCAGUGAUCCCGUGGUGCACUGAAGGCCCAUUAUGGUCAACUGCAGCUUGUUUCUGUUGUUUGGAAAAGUCACAGCAGAGGAUGCAGGAGGUCAAGGAUGGAGAGUGCUGGCUGGCAGGGUUUGCUAAAUGAGCAAAUUCUCAGGAGUACAUCUGGUGCUGGGAGGCUCCAGCAGCCAUUCCUUAGGAUGGUAGAUAGUGUGGCUUCUGAGGCAGCAGAGUUUGUAUUGCAACUGGACUCCUGCUGUAAGACUGAAGCACUGUGAACUCUGGUAUGCUGAAAAGCCUUUCUGUAGUGGACUGAAAGCGUUCCAUCUGUUUUGGUGCAUAAGAGCAGUACGCUGGCUGCAAUUCCUUUUGCUGCUCAUUGGCUGCAGUUGUGUGUGUGUGUGUGUGUGUGUGUGUGUGUGUGUGUACAUACAUGCACAGAUGAGAGGCUAGGAAGGAAGAAGAACAACAUUUGCACUUAAGCUCCAAUGCUCCACAAGUUUACAGGUACUCCUCAGUCACUGUUUUAAAGUAUUUCUUUAUUAUUUGGCUUAAACUUUGCCAACACGCAUAAAAAUUUUCCUCAUUUAUCUACUACAGUCUUCAGUUUCACUGUAGGGUUGAUGAUUGAGUAGUGGCAACUUCACUUUAAAGCUUUUAAACUGGAAAAUGGGGUUUUUACCAACGAAGGCUUUUUGAGAGAGAUGGAUAAGAAACUGCUGCAUUAGUUUUAGUGACUAUUUCCUGCAUCUCUGCACCUUGGAUAGAUUUAAAUAAUUUAACAAAUGCACAGAUACUGGCUGUAGUAGCAGUGCAGUUAAAAUCACUUCAGCCAGCAACCAUCCAGGCUGGGCAAAAGGCUGCAGCAUUUGGUUGAAGGACCCUGUUUAGAGACUCACCAUGGUACGGUGUGUUAAGAAAUUCACCCCAUUAAUAAUUCUUUUUAUAAAAACAGAAGAAGCAUUUCUAAACCAGUGCUCUGUGUUUCGUGCAUCUGCUUUUUAUGAAAUGCUUUUGUGAAACAAAGCUGUGUUAGAAAUGCAGAUAAAAGUUACGCUUCUGACAGUCUUUGCCAUCUCCUCAAUAGUAUCAACAGGGAUCUCAGCACUGUAAUACAAAGUGCUGCUUCCUUUAACCAAGGAGCCACGCUGCAUUUUAUGUAAUCCUGUCCUGGUCCCACUUCCUGAUCUCAGUGUUAGUGGGCCAAGGAAGCAAAAGUUAACAGCAAACAUGGAAUCUCCUGGCCUGUUUUGGUUUCCAAGCAGAAGCAGAGAUGUUGUGAUUUAGAAACUUCUUUGUACUUGUAAAAAUAAUGGGAUGUAUUAAUUCCUUAUUUCUUUCUAUGCUUUUCCAAUGUAGUUUCUGGAGAUGUUUCAUUCAAAUUUAUUAUUAAUCUUCUUAAGAACCCGUGUUACCACUGGUCUAUUUUUAAUAGAAUAUCUUUCCUGUUUGGCCAGGGCAGCCCUUUUGUUGAACCUCCUUUUGGACUGUGUUCCCAUGUGCUGUGAAGGCGCUGACACAUGACCUCGUUACACAUAGAAAAUCCUAAAUGUCCUGCCCCUUGCCAAACCUAUCACAAAGCUACCCAUCACCCCCUUUUCAGGAUCCCAGAUGGUAAAUAGCAGCAGGAGGUGAAAGGGGAGCUUUGUCUCCAUUCUGAGUCCUGUUUUAAGUAUUCUGUGUCUGUCUGUUUCCCUCUGCUUUUCCCACUCUGCCCAUAAAUUAGCAAGCCAGCUUUUCUGACAAGGAAAGACAAAAUGUCCAUAAGCUGCAGUAACAUCACCUACUCAAGAUAACGUUUUUGAACAUUCUUCGUUUUCGUUCUAUCUGGUUGUGAUCUCCUCAUUUGGGUAGAGCUGCUCUCAGGCCUGCUUGCUGGAGUAUUUAGGGCAAUGCUGCUUUGCUGAGGAUCAGGCUGCAGUUCAUAGCUUCUGUCCCAGCUUCUGAAAGGAGCACAUCCUCACAGUGACGUUUACCUACACCCUGGGUGGCUGGGCUCUGGUGAUUUAAAAAAAAAAAAUCCUACAAAGAUCUGCCUGUCUUAUUGUCUUCCUAAAGCCCAAGCUGUAAGGGAGGCAGCAGUCUGCGCUUGCUGGGAUGCCCUGGGAGCAGCUGGCUUUAUGAGCGUGCAGGGGGUCAGCAGUGAAAGGAGUGGGGACAUGGUGAGGGGAUACUGCAGCCCAGAGCCAUUGCCUGCAACUCUGUGACUCUCUUCAGAAGCUGGGCUUCACUCCUAGAAUUCACUGAGCAGGAUAUUGUCUGUAAGCACUCUUCCCAUGGAGUUUCCCUAUGUGACAACAAUUUCCCCUCGUUUUGUGCAGGAAAGCUGGCUUGGGCUUUUGUGCAGGUGGAAGUACGAGCUAUGCUGGUGUCACUUCUGGAAUAGUCUUAGCAGCAUCUGCUUGUAUUGAGGUGAUAACAUUCAGCUUGGUGUCUGUGAUAUUUUUUGGUGUGAUAGGUGUGAAGGACAUACAAAAGCUUUAUCCAUUAAUCAUCUCUCCAAUCCAAGGCUGUGGUAGUAUUUCCUAUGAGAAGAGGAAACUGUACUUUUUUUCUUUUUUUUUUUUUUUUGCUCUGCUAUUUACCUGCAGUUAUACUGUAUAGGUUUGAUGGCUUCUGCUAAGAAAUGCUGAUUUAUGCUAGCUGAGCACAUGCCUUUGUUUGUUGGGGACAGGUUGUUUUGUUUCCAUUAAUGAAGGCCCUGCAUUCUCUUUAGCCCCAUCUAAUUCCAGGAACAACCUGCGAUUGCCCGACCUGAGCUCUGGCAGCUCUGUAUGAUGUUCGUCUUUUCUCUGACCUCGGUGCAGCUGGGAAAUCAGAGACUGCUGAAAUGAAAUGCUGAAAGUUUAAUUAAUUUUAUGGAUUCCCUGUUUUUUGUGCAUCUUUAUUUUAAGCUGUUGAAUAUUAAUAUGGAAAGGGGAGUAGGAGUGCAAGGUCUGUUUACUGUCUAGUACUUGAAAGUGGUUUCUUUUCUUAUCCAGUUGUUUCAUUUUAUGUUAGAAAUACAGUUGUAUUAUUCCCAGGUUCCUGCACAGUCUUAAGAUGCCAAGUGAGUGUCAGCAGGGAUGCUGAUGGGAGGGAUUUACAGCCAUAAUGCAAGCGUUGUGGCUCUGAAACAUAAGAGUGACUCCACUUUGAACAUGAAUUAAUAAACUUUGAUAUUUAAGUGUCGAGAAAGAUUAAGAAGAAGAGAGUGAGGAGCUCCUAUGUCUUUUGGCUCUGUUUUUCUGGGUAAGAAUGCUCUGUUUUCCCCAUUGCAAGUUAAUUAGUACAGUGUUUUUUUCCUGCUCUGGGAUCUCCUGUAUUUCUUCUGACCUGUAAUUCUCUGUAUAGUCAUCAAGUAGAAUAGAUCUGAUGGGCUCCGUUCUGACACGUUGUGUUUUGACAGCACAUUUUGUUCAUACUGAGUCAAUACUUUUGAAGCUGGAUUGCUUGGUCACUUUAAUUUGACAUAUACCUAGUUGCUGCCAAAACUCCUUUUGGCUUCUGCCCUAACACCAGCCUACUGUUCUGUCACCUUUUCUCACUGUCACUGGUGCUUUUAUGGCUGCACAAUGUGCAACAACUCACCAGGGAAUCAAUCUGCCUGAAUUAGUCAUUAUAUAAAGGAGAGUUACAAAAAUUAACAAAUGUGCUGUUGAGUGUACAGAAUAAGCCAGUCAAGGUGGGUUGGCGGGUUCAUUCACUGGCAUUGUGUGUCAUUUGAGAUUGCCAAAGGUAUGAAAUUUUCAGAUAAAAUGAUGGUUUACAUGUUAGUGCUUUAUCCUGAAGUACUGACAACCCAGGGAACAGACUUGUGAUGGUGAGAGCGAGGAUGAGAUGGAAUCAAGCAGUGCUGCUUCAGCCCCAGCUUCUGUCAUCUGUGAAACCUUUGUGUAGUGGCUGUGGCUGCUGAAGAUUAGGUCAGUAUCUUUUCUUUAACACCUUAUUAGGCUGUUGCUCUAAACCGUGAGCUACUGUGAAUGUAUUUUUCUCUCUUUUUUUCUUUUUAAGGCUUUUGGUGGAUGAAGCUCUAAAAUGAAUAGAAAUAGUGUCUCCCUCUUCCUUUUGCCUCCUACUUGCCGCUCACACACACUCAGCCCUGGGGUCUUUUCUUUCUGUGUGGUUGGCAGAACAGAGAAAAAGAGAGAGAGGGAGACUGUCUGGGCCCCUGGUGCUGUCAUGAGAAGAAUAGUUGUGCUGUUACCGCUAAAUCUAAAGGGACAAGCUGGGGUAUGUAUGCUGCAGCAGCCAGCGGGCUGAAUUAGUGGCAUUUAGGCACUGCUAAGAGGCUAAUUGAGUCACUGGUACUUGCUGAUUAAACCAGCAAAUGGAAUAACGUAUGGAUAUGUGCAUGUUUGUGUUUGGGUCUAUGCUCUAUGAAAAAAUAACGUUAGGUUUUCUUUAACCCUUUUGCUCAAGCCACUUAAUAGCUUAAGGUACACCAAAGCAGCUAUAUAAAUAUGAGGAGGUCAGUCUUAUUUUAUUAUUUUCUCCCUGCAAUAUUAAUGGGAGGGCACUAACACAGUUCCUUUACUGGUUACUGAAUUGUUGCAGCUGAAAAAGUGGAGCGUUGAGCGAGCCUUUGGUUUAAUAUGGGGUAUUCAGAGUUGAGGUGACAGAAGGGAAAGAACUGAGGCUGUCCUCAAGGGAUGUGGGCACAGAGGUGAAGCCUUUGUUGGAAUCUUGGUUGGAAUCCAUCUCAAACCACUCCACCUUCUUCAGAACUGUGUCAGUAACACAGCUGGUGGCUGCACCGCUGCUUCUGGAUAUCUCAGCAGCAGUGCAUAAACAGUUGUCGUAUAUAAUGAUGAAGAUUAUAGCAUAGCUAAAGAAAAUGUUUAUAGCUGGGUUGUAAGGGGAAUACGUAGAGAAUCUGCAAAGCUGAGCUAAACUUUAAUAUACCCUUGCUGUGUAUUUUGUAAUGCGUUGUCGCUUCUGAAAUCUGCCCACAGACUCAGGCCCAGCUUUGCUUUUGCUCACAGUGGUUUUUAUAAUGAUUGUGGCUUGUUUAACUUCAGUAGAAUUAUUCCUAAUUUACAGCACUAUAACUGAAGAACAGAAUUAGAUUCUUGUGUUUUUCUUUGAAGUGUGCAGUGCUCUUAGGGAGGCUGUUGUGCUGAGGGCAUAUUGCUCUCAGUGAUUCUUUUUAAUUUUGUUUUUAGCUUUUAAGAAGAAUGAGACACCUCUCAAUCUAAACCAGAAGGACACGUAUGAAAAAAUAGUAAGACUCAUAGAGGCGAAUGGUGGGUUCAGAACCUUGUGAGUCAUUGCAGGGAGAUUGACAGUUUGGGAACAUGAACGCGGAGGAGUGAGGAUGGGAUGCUCAGGGGCUGAUGAGAUAAGGGAAUCUAUAGAAUGUCAGCAGAGGGGUCAGCAGCAGCGUGCAUCUCAUUCCAGAGUUAAACUCAGGCAUUGGGAAAUGGCAUUCCUUGAUGGCAAAUACGAUCUGACAGUUCUCAGCUAGCUACAGUGUUCUCCUCCUCCUCCUCCUCCACCCUCCCUUCAGCCACAUAUCAGCGGAUGCUUUGGAGAUCAUGUCUGUUCUUGCCUUCAAAGCAGCAACAAGAAAAUAUUUAAAGCCACAAGCACACCUUAGAGGUUCUGCAGGGUAAGCCAGGUUAGCAGUUUUGUGUACUUGAAAAAUUACAUACUUAUUUAGGCAACUCAGUUUCUAGUGUGGUCAAUCUGUUUUAUCUCCUAUUCAGAGAUUAUUGAGCUUUACUCUAAUUUUAGCACAUAACUGUUGUCUUCCUCCCUCUUCUUUCUUCCUUUCUUCUCUCCCGUGCACGUGAAAGAAUUUCUUUCUGUUCUUGGGCAGGCCUGGACUGGAUCUGCUCCUGGAAUUAACUACACAGGAGUUCAUUCAUUCCUCCUCUCAAAUUACUUGGUGCUUGCUAGGUAUAAUUUGUUCAUGGGUGGUGGGGAAGGAACUGUCCUCCCCUUGUUAUUACCAAGGUGCAAGGAGCUAAUACUGCUUUAGUGGGCAGGGCAGGAGACUGAGUCAAGAGAACUGUUUUAUAGUCCCAGCUCUUGACACCAUUUAGAGGGGUGACCUUGGGCGAGUUACUUCACUUUUCUGUGAAACUGCAGCAAGUGUUUACCUCCCUGCCCAGCAGGGCUGUUGAGAGGAUUUCUGUGGAUUGUUUUACAUACAUACAGGAUUAUGUUAUUAUUGCUGAGUGUUGUUUUUUAUGAAUAUGUAUGAAAGGCACUGGGACGUUACCUCACCUUAGGCCUCACACUCAACUCAUUGCAAGCUUGUGGUUGCUGUGAAUUUAUGUAAUGGAAGAGAUGGAAGAGAUUAGGAGCAUUAUCCUCAGAAGCUCUUGAUGUUCUCAGAAGAGAAAUUGGUGAACCCCGUUUCUCCUUCUCUAAGUAGCUCUCUGUUUUUUAUCUGACUUUGUCUCGUUGCUGGCAUUUGGGACAUGGGGUCUGGAGAGGCUCCUAUCAAACCAGAAGUAUUAUUUUUCUGUAGGCUCUUUGUGAGAUCCUAAAAUACAGCUCUUCUUGCGAUGGAGAAAGGAGGAAAUAAUGACAAAAUAUUGUGCUGUUUUAUUUUUGAAUCCUGAGCUUGUGGCAAGGGAACCAACCACACUGUGGAGGUUGCACAAGUGCGGUCUCCAGGGUAUCACUGGCGGUGUCAAGGAAAACUUCCUCUUUUAAUCAGUGCUGUGGUGCAGCAGUGCUGCUGUGGAUGAGUGGGCAUAGCUGGGAGGCAAGGAAAGGCCAGGAGGGUGUGAGCCUCAUCUCACUUCAUCUUUUACAUGAAAUGGGGAAAGGGCAGCACUGCUGAAGAGGAAUCAUUUUCCUUGACAGAAACUGAAAUAUAUAUAUGACCGUAAGCCUGCCUUCCAUGCUCUGCAUGCAGACUGUAGGGUUCUGAGGCUGAAAGCGAGCGCAGGGUGACUCAGUAUGGCUGUGACCUCAGCUUGCCCUGAUGCCCCAGUAUGCAGUGCUGCUGCUGCCCAGGCAGGGCUGUCCAACCUACUGAUGUUCUGAGAUGCCAUGUAAAGAUUGAGUGGGUUUUUUCUUAGCGUUUUGUGGGUGUUGCUCCUAAUCUCUUCCAGUGUUUCACUUUUAAGUCAUCUUGUCUGUUUAAAAUUAAAUAAAUGAAAAGGCCUCCAUCUGACUGUUAGAGAACUUCAUGUUUGAGUUUACAGUUGUUGAAAAAUAGACAUGUGAGUACAAAGUGCUUUACGGUAAAUGUUCCAGCCUUCUAGUUCGUAGGUCUUCUCAGGUGACUUGAGUCAAUUGUAUGAUGACAGCUAUCAAAUAGCAUCUUCUGUCCCAGUUGCCUAAUGACAGUUAUCAAAUAGCAUCUUCUGUCCCUGCCUGGAGCCAGCAAGCUUAGAUUUUAGUCCGUUGAGUUGGCAAGGCAGGUCCAGGUCAGACAGAAACCUGUCAAAAGCAAUGCUUUAAAUAAAUGCCUAUGCCUCUUUCUCCUGUUCUGCCAUCCUUUAGUUUGUGCUUUUGGGCAAGGUGUUAACAGUCAUUUCUGAAAUCUCACCAUAUUUCCUGCACACGCUUUGAGUAUAACUGAAUAAAAAGCAAGCUUGUGACAUCUUCACCAACCAGUGUAGGAUGGAUUAAGCACGAGAGGCAAAAGUUGCUUCCCAGAAUCCAGUAACUUCAUUUUGAGGCUCGGGAGAGUUUUGCUGUUUGCUUGUGGCUCCAUGCAUGCUCCUUUACCCCCAGUGCAGCUGUAAUCCAGUCGGAUGGCUGCAGUUGGGGUGACCUGUGCUGAACAGCAGCUGUGGCACAGCCGGUGGGGAUUGCUCAAAGGAGUGAGACAUGGGGUUAGCCUGCUCCUUUGCCUGCCUUGACCCUCGCUCUCUUUUUCCUUACUCAUGCUCUGCUUUGUAUUGCAAGGAUGGAUUUGCAAAGUCUUUAUGCAACUAAUUCAUUUGAAAAUUGCAUCAUCAGGAGGGCUCCAGGUUGAGGAUUUGACUAAAUCAAAACUUUCUGUGAUAACCUAAAAGUUUCACACGAGGCAAAUGCUGUGUUUCCUUGCUUUAAACACAAGCACACUGAUUAGCACUUCUUCUCUGCAUUUGUGGCUGACUUUUCACGUUGUCAUAUUCGUACUUACAGUGAGAUAUGCGUGUCACUUAGCACCUGAUUCUCCUAUGCAAAGGUCUUGUCACACAGCUUUCAUCGAAUGCAUCUUUUUGUGAAGUGGGUGCAUUCCAAUAUGCCCAUAGCCAUCUCAUGGCACUUCUCUGUGACCUUUUUGCCGGAGUGACAAAGGGAGUUCCACCCGAAGCAGUCUGUGCAUUCAUCGCUCAUAACAAUACCUGGGGAGAUCUUAUCUGGGUUUGAUGUUGGAAUUCUUACGUUUGAAAACAAGAGGGGAAUUUGAGUGUGGGGAAUUACUCUAUAUUAAAUGUGUUUUCUUAAUUUGUAAAGCAUUUGAAUAAACGCUGGCGUGAAUGUGCUGUAAAAGGGUAAGGCUGUGGCAAUAAAAAAAUGCAUUUUGCAAAUUUUUGCACUGUGAAAGGGCUACUUCUAAUGGAAUUGAAUUGUUUAGUUGAGACAGCUCUUGCUGGAGAAAAUUAGAAAGGCUUCAUUCCUGUCAUAAUGAAAUUGGGUCAUUGUCUUUUUUAACUGGGUCAUAGGAGUUUCCAGCAUGGGAGGCCUCUUGCCAUGUUUGAUGAGGGCGAGGUAUGGGAGCAGCCUGCUCUGUUAACCCUUGCAGCAGGGCUCAGCUCUGCUCCGUGCCCUGGGUGGGAGGGAGGGGGGAGCUGCCUCUCCAGGCACCAUGCUGUGUGCGAGCCGGGCUGGGACUGUUCUGGUGCACAUCCAGAGCCUGGGCUGCAGGCACCAAGGAUGGCACAGUGGAGCCCUCGAGCCUCCCACGUCACCCCUGCGGCUUGGCUUCUGCUGUGGCCAGAGGUCCUCCCGUCCUUCACUGAAGGAAAGGGAGAAUGCUGAAAUACAGAACUAACUACAGUGCUGUGGGGUCUUAAUUCACUUACCAAUUUCAACAAAUCAUGCUUGAAAAACAUUUUGUUGCUAUAGCAGUAUGUGAGAGGUGGCUCCCGCCCUCACACCACAGGGAAGGCUUUCAGAGAUACUGAGCUACCCUUCUCGCAUUUGGGAAAGAAAGAGUCUUCCCCGUUUGUCUGCGCUAUGUGAAAAGCAGCAGUGUCUGAAAACCAAAACAAAAAACCCCACAGCACAACAACUGGCCUCCUUCCAUGAGCCGACCCUAUUUCCAGCCUGUCCGCCACGGUACCAGGGGCACGGGCUGUUAUUGAGAGGCUGCUCUUGUACAUAAAGCCUUGUGAUUUUUGUUUAGAACCGUGAGUCUCCUAGAGUUCAGCUCCGCCGGAACAAAAUGUUCAAGACAAUGCUGUGGGAUCCAGCUGGAGGUUCAGCGGUACUGCAGCGUCAGCCAGAUGGAAAUGAGGUGCAGAGGGUUGCAGGGGUGGGUGUGGGGAGUUCCUUCCCUUUAAAGGGAAAGGAAAACAAUAGUGAUUCUGAAAUACAUGCGUUCACGUGUAUCUAUAGUGUUAAAUGCUAACCAUGGUAGGCAUGUUCUCAUUCAGCUCAGUGCCAGUAAGAUGUCAGUUGUGCUUUGUGUGUGGUUGUUACAGUAAAUAGGGCAGAGACUGCUCUCAGUGAAAAGCCCGUGUAACUCCGCUGAUUUGGGAUGUACACUGACAUAACUAGAGCAUAAUUUGCUCAUUGCCUGUGAUUUUCAAAUGACCCCAGUGAGUUUGUGUGUAUGGCUGGACAUGCCUUACACUGGCCUGGUUUUCUGGAAGUGCCAAACUCAUGCAUUUCAAAAAUCACCAAUAUUCAGAGAUGCAAAUAACUUUUUUCAAAUUCUUAGGCUUUAGCACUGAUAGCUCACAUUUUGUCCUCUGUCUUUUAUUUCUGCUGAUGUGAAUGAGCAUGCUUAUGAAGAGCUGGUUACAGAGCAAGGUUUAUGAAGUUUUUUUGGCCUCUUUUUUUGGAAUUGCUUUGUUUUGUGGAAUGGCUGUAGUGAUGUAAUGCAUCAUCAGUUCAAAUAAGAUGGUAAGUGAAACAAAGCUUCCAACUCCUAUUUCUGCAUGUUGACACAGUUGAAAUUUUAGAUAUCUUUUGGCAAAGCAAAAUUUGAUAUGAGAAAAGUAAUAUGACAUAGAACCUUUGAAGAAAAAAACUGUAACUGUUCCAUUUAAUCUCUGGCAAUUGUAAACUCGUACCACUGAGCCUCUAGCUUUGUGAGAAACAGGGAGUGCAUGUAGCUGAGUAGUGGUGCUGUCCAGGAGCACUGAAAUGAAAAUGGGUGGUAAGGAGGGAGGAAAAAAAAAACCCAUUUGAGAAAUGUCACCGAAGUUGUUCAUAUUGUUUGUUUUUCUAUUAGUUUUCCAUUUGAACAAGCAAAAGCAGAACUACCUGAAUACACAUUCAAGGAGCUAGUUCUGCUUUUGCAGAACUUUUUCUCCUCCUGCUCUUUUAUUGGCAUAUUUUGCUCUUUCCUCUUCAAAAGGAGUGGUCAGGAGGUUCAAGUGAAAUUUAUUUGAGAAGACUUGAAAUACUCCUUGGCCCGUUCCUGUAAGCAUUCUGGGUUCAGCAGUAAUUUGUACAGCAUUUCCAGAAGUGCUGUGAUCUCCUGCAUUGUGUUUUGGGAGCAUCAGAUGCUAAUUCAUAAUGCAGUGAGGUGGGCAGUGGUGCAGCAGCACUCAUUUCUCCUAGGAACAUCCUGAGGGAAAGAAAACUGCCUAUAAGGAAGGGAAAACCUUUUAUUUAAGGAGAAUGAGGAGAGAAAGCCCAGUGGUAUUCUGUAUAGUGACUUUGUCUGGGAAGGAUCUGUAAGGAAGAGGAAGUCUCUCUUCUGGAAUGUUUACAGAUGGUUCUCCAAGGAAGUGAAGACUUAGAAUAUCAGAGUUGGCUGUGGUCAUGUGUUGGAUGCUGAACUGUUAAUUAAAUUACAGCAUAGAUCCUUGACCAAAGCUUGCAAAAGUUUUCAACACUCUUUCAUCUGUGCCCUCGUAUCUUCUGGGAGCAGCUUGCAAUUCAAGUCAGAUACUGACGGAUGUUUAAGACUUUCAAGCAGUGUGAUGUCAGUAGCAGUGAAAAAAACAGACAGCAAUUUACUGGUGGCUGGUCAGGGCUGGGAAAGCCCAUGCCCCUCCUUUAAAAGUCCCUCUUUUAGAGCUCUCCUAAACAUGAAGUUUGCAGACUCAUUCACUACUCAUCUAGAGAAUGAAUGUCUCCUUUCUUCUCCUGUGUGUGUUCCCAUGGUCUGUGUGAUCAUAAGUUGCAUUGCUGUGCUCCAUUUUCCACAGCCCGUGGCUUCCAGGCUUUUGUGUGGCUUCUUCAGAAUUUCACAAGUACAUCACAAGAUGCUAUUUCGGGUGGCUGUAGGAUAAAGAGCACUUAGAUCUUCAGAAUGCCCUUUGCCACAUUCCAUUAGGCCUGUGAGGUACCCAGAAAGCAAACCAAAGUCUCAGUAACUCUUAGUCCAGCACAUUCUGUUUUACACAGAUGUGAUCAGAAGAUGCUGCUUCAUCUUUUUGCAGCAUUUAUCUGGAGCUGACGCUUGUGGUGGCACCUCCCCAUGUAGGGAGGCUGGCUGGCAGCCCUGCUGUUCCAGGAGGGGCCGGGGUGCAGAAGUACCUGCCUGUGAGCAGCUGAACCCAACCUGCUGGCCUCAGCUUCCCGUUCUGUCAUGCUGCAUUCCUGUCAGCUCCCACUCCCGCACAAAGCUUAUGCAACUGUCUCUGAGGCAGAACAGGGGUCACUUCAGGCGGCUGUUUUGAUCUGGUGGUGCCUCUUCUCCUCUCUAACGCUGUCUGGAAGGAUUUGUUAGAUUCUUUUUUCAAAAGAAGAGGCCAGGCACGCAGGCACUUUCACGCACACACAUCAUGCUGCUGCGUUGGGAUUUAAGGGCAAAUGGAAGCCAGGGCUUGACAGGAGGCUGAUUAGGAAUACAAUCCUUUCACAGUGCUUUGCUUUUGCAUCUGAAGAGACUUCUGUGUGCUCAGCAUUUAGAUUUGCUGCCCCAGUGACAUCACACGCUGUCAGCACUGCGGCUCCAACGGUACCACCAGCAGUGCUCUGCCUUUCCUUCGUAGCUUGCCCGAGCCUAUUGGAAUCAUUUACAUAUGUUAAACAGCCAUUGUGUGACCCUGUGACAAAGACUUUUAUUUUAUCUGCGUCAGAGAGGAGUAAACUGAGAUAGGGAACGACCUGGUGGCUUGUCUGUGGCCACGCAAGAUGUUAUCUGGGGACCUUCAGUAAGAACCCCAGCACCCAGGCUGUGCUGUACUCUGGGGACACGCUCAGCUCUUCCCCUGGCACACAACCUGGAGCAGGGAGUCCUCGCCUCUUGCCUCGAGUUCUGACCUCUCUAUUGUGGCUCCAGACUUGCAAAUAGAAGCUGGGUGUCAUGACCACCAGCCUCUGUUUUGAGGCAGCAAACUGCAGCGCCAGUGCCCAGAGGGUGAGUCGAUGAGGACGUUGAUCUGCCAGCUUCCAGUGACCUGGUGCAGCCUUAAAUCAGCCGAAGGUAGAUCUGGGAGCUGGUCUGUGGCUCAGCUCCCUCCUUAGACACUGCUAGAGCAUUUUUUUUUUGGUAGCUUUGGUCAGUGCAGUGCUAGUUAAGGAUAUUCUCUCUUCAUGCCUCUCCUAUCCCUCUCAGUGUUGGGGUUUUCAGCUUUGGAAUAAUUCCAGGAGAACAUCCAAACAAAGCUUCCCAAAGUCACUCUAAAUCAUCGUCAUAGGAAAUGUUUCCUGCGUGCUGCUGAAGUUAUUUAACGACCACUUCACUCAUGUUUCCCUAUCAGGCAAUUGUUAGUGCUUUUAUGUGUUCUUAGUGUAUCUGGAAACUGAACCAAAUGUGAUCAAAGCAAGCAUCCUGGUGAUCCUGUGACACUGUGGGGUCUUGUCAUCUGUGUGGAACGCCCAAGAUGAGCCACAAUGAAAGUGAUAGUUGCUAGAAAGAGUACGUAGUUUGAUGGGAUAUCAUAGGGUAUGACCCCUGCCUGCAUGGAGCUGGCAGUCAGCUCUACAGUGGCUGUCUCUGGGGUUAGAAAGAGGAUGAGAAACCUGAGGAGGAGGUGAGAAAGAGCCCAAACCAGACCUGUGACAAAAAGCUUUUCUCUUCAACUAUAUUUCCGGUGUUGGGGUGAUUCUGUGCUGGAGACAGUGUAGCUCUUAACUCACCUUUGUAUGUCAGUGCUGGCAUAUAUUAUAACUGUAUAUAAAUAAUUAAGAUUACGUCUUAAUUCCUGUGUGCUAAAUUUGUACAGAUUCUUAUAAAAUUACAAUUUUGGUAGAAAAUGAAAUACACAAACACUUCAGAGAUCCACUAAGAUAAGAGAAGCUGAGAUAAUGCAUACUGUUCACAUUAUUUAGAUUAUAUAUAUAUUAUGAAAAAUUGUGAGAAGAAACAUGUUUUUAAGAGGUGUUUUCUGUAGUGCACAACUAGAUGCAGCUUCUCUCUUAGCUUUGCUUCUUCUCUUCUUCCUCUCAGUCAUUUCCCAGGUGUAAAAAUAGAUUUAUGCCAUUUCACUUUGGCGAUCCCAACUAACAAGCAUAUAAAGGAAGCUUUGUAUCUGAGACUUCUUGUCUGCUGGGAUGUAGGUUUUUCUCUUAAGGGCCGCAAAGUAAGUCAUUGCCCUUCCUUAGGAGGCAGUUGGGACUGGUCAGAAGCAUGUGUAAUUUUAUGUUAUAUGUGAACAGCAUCAGAACUCUACCCUGCAAGCUCUGUUAUGGUUCCUUGCCAUAUAGAUUGACACAUGAUGUCAAUUGGAGUUCUAAGUUGUUUGUGUUUUUUUUGUUUUGUGUUUUUUUGAGCAGCUCACACUGUUAAUGUAUGUCAGGAACACCUAGACCAUAGUUAGGUGGUAGGUAAGACUCACCUUAAGACCAGCUUUGUUCCACGUGCUCCUUAGGGUGCUUUGCCCUGACAUGCAGCUGUAGCCAGUAUUAAGCAGAUAGCAUUUCUCCAGAAUUUCGUGAACCUAAAAAAUUCUGAAAGUUUCAUAUGUGACUGGCUUAUCUCAAGCAAUGUACAGCUCUGCUUUUGCUUGAAGCAGUCAUUUCUUUCCCCUCAGUGCUUUUGAUGUGCUGCCUCUGAGCCUGCCUUCAUUUUCCCAAUAAGUGCCUGAUUUGUGUACUGCUUUGGUGGUGGUUUGUUUGUUUGUUUUUCUUUUACUCGUUUGAGUGGCUGCAUAUGGACUUUGGAAAUGCUGUACUGUCUUGACAGGUGAGAGAGCAAAUGUAGCAUUAGGAAUUCCUCCUUCCCCCAGCACUGCAGCAGGCAGCUGGAUCAGGAGCUGCUUGAGUCAGUAGCAGAAGAAAAAUAGACCUUAAAGAAAAUCCAUAUGCCACACUUGGCCUGGUGAGAUGUAGGGAAGACUUAUUGCUGCCCUUUGUGCACACGAAAAGAUGAAGCAGGAUCUUGUUUGGUAACAUGGAAUCUCUUUAUAGAAGUAGAAAACCCAGAAACCAAACCUCAGUGCAGGAGAAGAAAUGUAAAAGUUUGGAUGGCUAUCAAAAUAGCUCUGAGCUGCAUUCAAAGCAGAGUUACUUGGAAACAUAAAUUACAGGGGACAAUUAAAUAGCACUAGAUUGACAGAUCAUGAUGUUCUUUCCCAUAUACAGUAUUUACUUGUAAAGUGGAGGCUGUGUUUAGCUCUGGUUCCCCCCUCAAAUUUUAUUUCAACUUUGCAUGGGAAGAGUAAAUGGCAUUGCAUGUUAUGAAGGCUUUCAACAUACGUGUUCUUUGCAAACUAGAAUUUAAUGAAUGGUGCUUAUAGAGAAGAUGUCAAAGGAGAAACUGAACCUCUUAGUUGUAGCAAGAAUUGAAUGUAAAUCAGAAUUGAGUGUAAAUCAGCUUAGCGUGUCUUGCUGUUUAGGAAGCCUUAAUUUCAUAUUCCUUUCCUUGAGUUCAGGAGGAACUAAUUUGACUGGGCAGCGUUUUUUCUAAUUUGGACUGGAUUCUGGAUGUCCCUUUACUUUGCUGAAGAAAAAAGUAGGGAUGCACAUGUAAAUUCCUGACCUCUUUUUAAGACAUUGAUCCUUUUGGUAUCCACAUUCCACAUGCCCCUCUCUCAGAAGGUUUCCCAGCACACUGUUAAUUAAUAAAAGACACUCGUCUUCCCCCCCCCACCCCCCCCCCUCCCUGGUGUUAACUUAUAAGCAGAAUGUUAACAUUGCAUGUUAAAUCAGUAAAGAACUUCCUUCAUUUUUAUAAGCAUUUUCUGGUAUCCGACUUUUUGGCACUAUUGGAAGAAUUCAUGUGCUCUUCGUUUAGUGCUGGGAUGUCAGUUACAUGCAUGCAGUAGGAGGGAUGUUUCAGCCCUUCUGCUGGCCAGAUGCUAGGUGGAAAAAAAAAAAUUACAAAAUCCUACAUGAAAAAAACAAGAAUUAGAAAAAACAAGAACAAUAAAUAGACAUCCUAAGAAUUUCUGUUCUAUAUAGAUUUUAUAACAAGUAGUAAAAGAGCACAGAAUGGGCAGUAUCAUGAAUCCUUUGUCAUAGAAAUGAAUUAAAAAAACUCUGUUGUGGGAACAGAAUUAGAAACCUUUCCAUGCUCUGGAAGCAGGAAAGGAGGAAAUACAAAGAUGAAGCUGGAUUUCCCAAAGAAUUCAAGACUAAUUUUAAGGCCAACAGAUUUUCCCUCCCAGAACAGUGUCCAUCUCCAGAUGAAGAGAUUAGCCGGAUUCCCAAGGGAACCAUUGGGAGAGCUGUCUUCAUGUUCUCUGGUCGUGGUCAUUACUGAACACUGGACUACACAGACCAUUGAACUGAUUUAUUUUUGGGACUCGUUCACGAAUUAUUGGCGGUUUUAAUUCUGUUUUGUAAAAUGUACAGAAAUAUGUUUGAAGCUGUCUUAAACAUACAAACACAGCGUGUCAGUUUUUGGGGAGAGAUUUAUUGUUGUUGUUGUUAUUUGUUAAAGACUCCAAUGUAUUCUGUGUUAUCUUGAGGAUGCCUGCUGCCAUCUGGGCUUGUUAUUUAGCAGGAUAAGAUCAGGGCACAAGGGAAAUAGAAGUAGUGAGCAUUGCAAGGUCUUCUGGGACCGCGUGUUGGGUAGAGAAUUAUAGCAGGCCAGGAUGAAGGCAGACAAGAAAAUUAAGGCUUAACUGAUGAGCCUGAACAGAAGUGGAUAAGAAAUUCUACCUGAAUCGAGCAUGGUUGCUCAUUUGGCUGUGUAAUUGUUGGCUUACUGCUAGCAUGGGUGAAUCUGCACCGCUGCUUUAUGGCCGUGGGCCCUGCUGCCCUGGAGAGCUGGAAGCACUGCAGUCCAGCUGAGUGCAUGAGGGCGGAAUCCAGCCUGAUUAAAUAUAGAUAGAAAAAAUAAAGGUGCCUUCUGAGCUCCUGUGUGAGCGUUUCCUUGUAAAGUUCACAGAAGUUAAAGAUGUGUGUAAUUGAGAGAAGAGCAGAGUUGUGGCUUUCUCUGGUUUUGAAAGGCUGAAUUCUUUUUGUUUUCUUCCUUUCUCCUCCUUCCCUGCUCAUUAAAAAGGCGCUAUUUGUGGUCAUUAGGAGGCACCCAGAGCAAUUAGAUCUAACUGACCUUCGUGAUAGCUAUUCAAGACAGAAGCUAAAACAGGAUUGUAUUGUAAACAACAACAGAAAGGGGGGCACACUAAACUUUAUGGCGUGUUGGUAUGUUGGGGGGGAAAUUAGAGGAUUAUGUGGUCAGCAUCCCUGUAAAUCUUGUUUAUCACUGAUGUGGGGGAGGACACCAUAUCUGAGGGGAAUCCUCGGACAGUGAGGUUGUGAACUUUGUGGUUUUAUCAGUUAAAAUGGCAGAGGGAAGAAUGGAAGGAAAAGGGAAUGAACUAACAGACUAAGGCCAAAUUCCUCUGCUUUUGGAGUAAAGUGCCGUGGGCUGGUGCGAGAAUGAAAAAACCCCUUAUGAACUGGUGUGUAGGGAGGCCUCUCCUGAGCAUCCGUCCAGCCCAGCGUGGUGGCUCUGAAGGCAGUCAGCAGCAGAUGUUGUUGUGGUGUGCUUGUGAGUUGAGCAAGGAAGAGGACCUGGGGGAAAAGGAUCCCGAAAGUUAUGGCAGAACAAGAUGGCAGCUGAUGUAUGGCAUCAUCCCUGCCUCACUGUGAGCACAGGGCCUGGGGCAGUGGGAGAAGCUGCUCUCCUGGCUGCCUCCUAGAGAGAUUGUAUACUUUUGGUCCAGUACAGGUCUUACAAAUAGCUAACCUGCUCCUGCUUCUAAAGCUGGGCGUGAAUUCCUUGCACAAUUGAAACCACGGUGAUACAAAUGGGAUCAGCUUUGAGGCUGGAAGGGCUGAGCGUCCUCCUGCAGUGGGACGGGCAGAGCGGGGCUCGGCCCCUUGGUUUUAUGUGGGGUCAGGCAGUCAGCAGGGUGGGAGGAAGGUUCGCAGGCGGUGAGCCCACCAUCUGGCAAUCAUAAAACAAGUCAUCAACGGUUUUUGGAGGAGGAUGGUGAGGAAACAAGCUGCAGACGAUUGUCAUGAGCUCGGGGCCCUAACACAGACACCUUUAUGGCUGCUCUCUGUUCUGGUUGGGUGUCUGUAGUAGGGGUCAAAAGUUCAGGCCGUUCCCCCUGCAUGUUUUUUCCUUCCAAAAGGUGGGAUGUGGGCAUUAUGGGGAGCCGUACCACGAUGGGGAUCCUGGGCAGUCCUGGCCCUGUUGGUACCCUACAAUACCUGCUGUAUGAGGUAGACUGCCUAGCACAGCCUCGGAUGGGGAGCGGAGAAAUUAAACACAGCUUAACUGUGUGAGAUGCUGCAGUGAGAUGCAGCGGCCACGCAGCCUCCCAGACAACGAACUGGCAAGUGCAGGCUGUCCAGUUACCUUUUUUCCUGAACACAAUUAGUAGCUUAUAAAAGGUUGUUACGCCACUGUACCAGACCUUGGAGGGAAGCAACCAGAUGAAGAUUUUAGAGACUGCUGUUCAGAGCAGCAUGCGGGCUGGUCUGAGAAGAACAGAAGCAUUGCCAAUAGAGCACUGUGGGGAGCACUGGCAGAAACAGGUGGCAUUACGGGCAGGUGAUGCAGCAGAUCUGGAGGUGCUGCGAAAUAUACUGUAGGAAAGGAAAAGUUGGCAUAGUUCUGUGGCUGCUUUUUUGCCAAUUUGUGUUCUGUAUGAGGUUGUAGCUCCUGCUCAGCUGCUCACCAGUGCUGCACCCACCUCGUGUGAAGGCUGGAACUUCCCGUUUGCCAGAUGUGGCAGGAAUCACAGAUCCGCUUUGUGCAUCAAAAGAAUGCCGUGACCACUGGGGCCUGAUUCUUCUUCUCAUAAUGAAAGUGAGGAGUAUGAGUAACUGUGAUGUGUGCUGCUACGCCCGCUGCAGGAUCAGCGGGCAGGCAGAAUGAGGUGCAGGGUAUUGUAACAACAAGAAAAACUUAGAAAUGUCUGAAACAUUUGAAUAAAUGCUGUUCUGAAGCAGUCAGACCUGGUUAAAGUGAAUCAUUCUGUGAACUGUUCUAACCCCCCUCACAACACAGAGCCUCCAGAUUAACAAAUGUGCUGGAAUGCAGAAUGCACAUCUGGUCUUCGUUACUGCGGCCCGGCUGUAAUCACAUGGAGAAAGCUACCUUGGGUUUUUAUGUAGAAAUGUUUGUAUUAUACAAAACCCCGGUUGCCAAGCGAUUUUUAUUAAAACGGCCAGUUUAUGCUCAAUGUAGUGUCCUGCUGAGGAGCUCUAAAUACCAUAAAAUCUAUGCACAGCGUCACUCCCAUUGUUAGAGCUCCGUGGGCUGAGGGUAAGCAGUGCUUAGGGGAUGGCUUGGCGCUAUCUGAGCUUUGUCUGUCUCAUACUUCGCUCAUUGGAAUGUCCAGUUGUUGCUGCCAUCUUGAGAGCUUUGCCUGUCACAGGCUGGAUUUGGAAGCUGGAACUGUAACCACAAUUUUGCCUAAAUGCAGCAGAUCUGGGUGAUGUGGAAAUUAAAAUACUGCUGGCUAAACUCAGUGCUCAUGGGGGGGGCCUGUACUCUGAACUCAGUAGUGAGGAAUCUUUGAAGGCUGAAGGGUUUCUUAAUGAUGCAUGGAAGAUUAGAAAUGCAUACUUAAAAAUCCCAAUUUACAUGACAUAAUGGUAGAAGUUGCUUUGGAGAAUUCUCCGAGGGAUUUAAAAUCAGUCAGAUUUACAAUGGGCUUUAAACAUGCUUCUCAUUAGAAUACAGAUCUGACCUGACCAGCAAUGCUUUCCAGAAUUUGAACCUAAAAGGGGGACUUGGGGUCUAAUAUGUACAGAAGUUUGGCUCGGUGAAACAUGGUUAAUGAACAUAAGUGAAACUUCUUUCACACAACGUGCAUUCAUCUAGACAUACUGGUAGGAAGUUUGAAGCAAUGACUAGCAAAACUAUACUUUUAUUAAUGUUUGCAAGAAUCAAGAGAUGUUUUGGUAGGUGAGGAAAGCUUCCACAGCAUUUUUCAGUAACUAAUACAGCCUUGAGUUAAGGAUGUUAUUUUGUGUUUCCAAUUAAAAGCUAGAUUCUUCUGUACAGUGAAGCCUAACAACUGGUACCAAAGGUCACAAGACAGGAAGGGGAAGAAGGAGGGCUGGUUUCGUAGCAUUGUGUCACUCACAACUGUCUGCCGGAAAACCACAGAAACCUACCUUCAUCCACACAGACAGCCAGUCACAACAUUCUUGGGUGGCCAAGUGGGUUUUUCCUGUCCAGCAGUUCUGCCUGUCCUCAUGCAAAGCACUCUCUUUACUCACCCUGCAUUAACAGUGGGGGAACGAGGAGCUGUUACCAAAUGUGCGCAAGUUUACGUCCUGCUCUGGCAUAAGCUGUCAUGAUUUGGCUUGUUUUAAAGCACUGUCACACACAGAAGCAAGGACUUUGAUAACAAGAAGGGCUACAGGUAGUCCAUCUGCUUCCAGUGCCAUUUCCUUCGUUUCACAAUAGAGACGCUAUUGCCUGCAGAUGAAGGAAAACUGACGCAGUUCCUGUCCGUCCUAGCCAGAAGAAACCAAAUGUUCUUUUCAGUUCAAAGUGGCACUCUGCGAUGGCUUUCCUUGUGUUAAUAUUUCCUUCUGUGUUAGCACACUGAGUGUGCCCACUCAGGGAAUGAGCUUGAUCUUCAGGUGCUGUGCCUGUGGACACCAGGGUGUAUGGCUGGUGAGUGGUGCAUGGCCUGCACAAUUUUACUGCUUACUUAGGAGCACGUGUGACUUGCAUGCUGACCAUGUGGCAAAAGUAUCUCUAGUUGAAGAGCACUGGAAUACGGCAUGUGAAGUAUCUGGAGGGCAGCACUUGAGUACUGCAGGCACAUCUUCAGAAAAAUGACCUUGUCCUCCCUGCUGUUACUCGGUUAUGCCGUAGGGGAAAAUACCUCCCUGAUUGUCUGUGGCAUCCCAGAACGUCACAGCCCUGCUCUGAGCAUGGCAACGUGCUUUGAUUCAGAUAGCAUUGCGAAACUGCUGUAUUCUUCUUGUUUCAGCAGUGGUUACUCAAGAACUGUUUCAUUAGAGGAGAUCAGAGUUUGAUUUGGGUGUACUCUGUUUCUUGAGUGCUGAGGAAGGUGCACCAGGUGCAGUAUUAUACGAAGGCAAACAUCCAGUACCUUCAUCCAGUACCUUCCCAGCACAUCUUUCUGGGGUACUGCAUGCAGAUCCAGAGCUCAACCCUUCUUACUACCUCUUAAUGGAUUUUUCUUAUGCAAAUUCCUCUGCCUGCUUUUGGAGCUUUUAGAAGCUUUUGGCAUCUGCGGUAUCUUGUGGCAGUGAAUUCCCCAGUUGUAUGUGGUAUAUGAAAAACAUCUCCCUUUGUUUCUUCCCCUUUUUCCCAGAUGUCAGGGAACUUAGUAAGGGAACUUCCAAUACCUUUACCUUAAAAAAAAGAACUAUCUUUUUUUACUGUAUUUUCUUUAAAAAUUUUUACGAAUCCCUGUUUAUUGUGCUCAUAAAAGCUGCACUGCAGUCUGUGUUUUAGGAUGAUGGCUGAAAUACUUCCUCACACUAAUUUUAAUGCUUUUAUGGGACAUAAGGAGUGUGAGCAAAGAGAAGGAAGAAAGUGUACUGUGUGCUAUUAAGUGUAACAGCUUGAGAUAACAGGAACUGUGAAGUCUACCUUAAAUCAAGUUUCUGGUUUUGUUGUUGUUUAUUUGGCCAAGAGGUGAAAAUAGUAUUGGUGAGCAUCCCAGCUGACACUGAGGCUCAGAGUGGGCUCUGUGUAUACAUGAAGCAUUCAGCAGUUGGUAGAAUCAGGCCCUGAGAUCCUGCACAUGUGGGAUCCACCGCGUGCCCUGUCCACAUGGAAGACUUGUGUUGUUUGUAAUGUCGUUGGUGAGUUUAAACUCUUGCCCCUGGGUCAGUGCAGCCAUACUUGGUGUGUGUGUGUGCAAGCAGACCUGGUAAAAAUGGUCUAGUUUAGAUCUACCUGUUAGAAACAUCUUAAAAUUAAAUGCAAAAUAUGUCUCCAUUGAGCUGAGUUUAGUUUGAAACUAGUGCAGCUUUUCAGUAUAGGGAUGACGUCAGUGUUCCUUUCCUCACGCACAGUUUAAUUGCUCUCCUUUAAAAAGGAAGUUUAUAUCUCCAGCUGAGUGUAUGCCAGGCUCCUGACACGCAUGACAAUUGAACUGUCUUUUUCUGCUGGCUAUUUAACACCACUAUUGGCACACAGAAUCACGUAAUUUGAAUGACUUGGCCUAGCAGGAAGUGGUCUUAAGUGUGAAGAUGAAAAUACAGCACAAUGAAGUUGCCUAGUUAGCAUUUUGCCCUAAAAUUCUUAGUACAGUGAUAAAUUAAAGAAAUACCCAUCUUGUUACUACAUCCAAUUACAUCAGUGCAGUGAGGUGCUACUUUCUCUUCUUUUAUACUGAAUCUUCUCAUUGCAUUUAUUUUAUUUUUUUGUGUGUUACUGCAGAGCACUGUUAGAGCUUUAGAUACACCACUUUUUUUGAACACGUUUUCUUGGCAUAAAUUGGUGUGUUUUCUUGGUCUGUCACAUCAAGCAAUAUCUCUGUCAGUGCCAACUAAUUGCUAUCAAUCAAAUGCUGAGCAUGAAAGGCUGGUCUGAAUGUUUAUUAAAGCACGGUUAGAAGUAUGGGGCACGCAAUUUCUUGUAAAAUGCAAGGCUAGAAUGAUGAUUCUGUGGGAAAUGGGCUGACACAUCUACAUUUUGCAGCUAGGAGCUGCUAUGCAGGUGGGCAGAUGAAGCAGGCGUGAGUGAUUUCUGUCAGGAUUUAGUGCCUGUCACUUGGGGGUGAGUGUGAAAGUGGUCAGGAGGAAACGGUUCCUCCUCAAUUGCUACAGGACCAUCAGGACCAUCUGCUUGCUCACGAGCUCUGCUGGCACAGCCACAGCCGAUGGGAUGGUGCUGCAGGGCAGAGAGGAAUGCAUGUGAUGCUCCAUGUCAGAUAGCUGAAAUAGUCCACUAGCAUUCUACUUGGAUAACUUCUGGGGUAAUCCAGUCAAGUGUGAAUCUUCCCCAGUUAAUUGACUUGUUUGUGGGCUGUUCAUUUUAGCGUUUGUCUUGGCGUCCAACCUGGUGUUUAUAUCACAUGUAUUUUAUUAAGAAAAUAGCAGCCUGUAGUCUGGCUGUCCGGUUUGGAAACUCAGCACCUCCUACCAGACUGCAAGAACCAGGAGUGGGGAACAGCGGCUGCAUGGGGCCAGGUAUCCCUUCCCUGCAGAGCUGUGGUGUCUGGUACCUUUGUAUGGAUGCAGGGCUCAAAAGGUCACAGCUCUUUUGUGUGUGCGUGUUUAUUGCCUCCAGUUUAGUUCUCAGGAGUCCCAUUUCAUGACCACCAUCAGUCCUGGCCAGGGCAUCAGACAGGUCAGGGGUGUUAUCUCUUUCUUUAUGACUCUUGGAUGUUUUUUUAGGAGAAGUAGUCAUUCUUUCUCUUUCUUACAAGCCCAUUUGAAAGUUCUAUAAAUAACCCUGGCUAUCAGCCUUUUAAACAUUUUUAUUCUUUAAAGGAUGCUGAGUAUUUACCUUAACUUUAAAACAAGACAAAAACUUUAAAACCCAAAGCAAUUGAGAUACUUCACAGCUGCCUGGAAUUAACAGCCUGAGUGUAGGGGAAAUAGUGGGGUUGAAAGUGGGACAAGCAGCAAUGCAUUAUUUUUUCUUCUGUUUUCUAACAAAAGCAGAGGGCUUACAUUGCAGUUGUAAUUUUUGCUCUCUUCUCGUAGGGAAACCUCAGUCUCAUUUAUUAGAAAUGUAGGCUUUCUUUUUUAAUAAAGUUGUGCUUUGAAGGUGGCAUUGAAAAGCUUUUCCUGAGACACUUUGAAAGCAGCAUCCAAGAGAGGAGAGGCACGUACUGUCCCAUGCCUGUAGCAUUGCACACUGUGGUAUUUUGGGUUUUCACAGUAACCUGUUUGCUGGAGGAACGUGGCCUCACGUCAGUUGACUUCAGGCCACAGGCCUUGUAAUAUGGGCUUUUCUGGGGUUUACCACUACCAGAUGGGGCUUUGUUUUCUGGUGCUCGAAUUUCAUAUUUCAUAUAAAGACACUUAAGUCAGAAAUAUUUAAAACAUAUCUAUUUCUUUCCCCAGUGCAAACAGGACCAACUUAAAGCUUGACAGAUCUUGACUUCCCUCCUGAAGUCUCCCUUUUCUUUAGGGCUGGGGUGGAUGGGCUUGGGCUGAGCCCGGAGUGCUGGGCUUCAGAACCAGACGAGCUGCUGCCUUACCAGCAUUCGCUGCCAGACUUUGGCAUCCUGGCUGCUUUCAAACUGUUCCCUUUUUGUCACAAAAUGCUGGACAUGUGCAGAGUGUGCUGAGGGCAGGAUGACCUCAGUGGAGCCCUGCUGGUAUCUUACCUUCUGAGAAAGCCAGAGAUUUUUGGAAGCGGUUUUCAAAAGUGAGGAAGCAAAUAUCUGUUUGUGGUUGGCCAAACCAAAACCACGUCAAAAGCAGAGAACACUUCUGUGUAUUUAGGUACGUCAGACAGGUUUCCACAGUAUUAUUCAAUCAUUGCAAAUGACUUUACUCACGGAUUAUUUGUAUUACUGGAGAAACUGAAAGUCUCUUCCCCACUGUGCUAGGUAUAACAGAUAGAUGUUCCCUCUCAGGAGAAGGUUGGUAUGCAGGACCAAAGAAAACUGAUGGGCACAUGGGGUGGGUGGAGAAAGAAAAACUUCUCAUGCAAUGGUGUCUAUGCUGUAAAACCAACCAAAAUGCUCUCCCGUUUCCCUCGGCUUGGCUGCCAGGCUACGUAGUUUGCAAAUAGAAGAAAUACCAUUGUGAGCACACUGCGUUAUGUCCUGUGAAAUAAUAAUAUUGCAACAUUCAGAUCACAUCAGAUCUGCCUGUCAGUGCUUGAAUACGGGACAGAUCUGAUUCCCAGCUACACUUUCAGAGGAAAUUUGAAAAAUGAAGGGUCACAGGGAGGGGUCCCUGUGGGCUGCAUGACCAGUUACAAGAUUAUUGGCUUUUUUCAUGGUGCUGUAUCCAAUGACAAGUGCCUUCUCUGUAUCUGUGUGUAACUGAAAGCAGAGUGAUUUGCAUUAGAUAGCACAGCCAGAAAAGGACAUACAGAUUGUUUUGAAGAAAGUGAAAAUUGUUCUGUUUAUACAAACUGGUGCAUUCUAAAAUGUCAUCAAAGAAUUUCCAAACCUUCUUUUCCUAUAAACAGGUUUGAGAAAGUGUGUUUAGGGGUUAACGUUAUAGGCUCGAGUGACUUGAAGUUGCAAGAACCCUUGGAAUGUGUAAAGAGGGGAAGGAUUCCAUAGAUAAGGCUGAACUGUGAACUCAGGGCACAAUCCAGUUUAUACCUUAAUCUCCACCAAUAAAAGCAGCAUCAGCUGUCUGACUGAGUCAGAACACUGCUCCUCCUGGUAAAGUUGUUCAAAUAAAGAAAGUAGGCUGUUACAGCAGAGAAGAUGGCAAAGAAGGUGUGCAGUUUUAUUCUUGCUCUUUGAAGCACAUAAAGCAGAAAUGUUUUAAAAAAAUAAAUCAAAAAGUGUUCAUAUGAGGCUGUGUAGUCAACUCAGAUUUAUGAAACUUAGGAGAUUCUUAUAUAAUUUUUAAAUUCGACCCUUGCUCUGUCACCUCCCUCCAUUUCAGUAUAUUUCAGCAUUUGCAGUGUUACAUUUGGAUCUACAGUUGUGUUAAAAGUGGCCUGAAGAGGAUCAAACAUUUAUUUUUUUAACAUUUUUUGUGCUGAGUGGCAUUGGGGAAUUGGUUUUCUUCUGGCCAGCAACAGUUUGGCAAAGACAGCGAAGUGCUCAUGCAGCAGGUAAGAAAGCAGGGCAGUGCCUGCAGCAUCCCAACAUAUCAGGACACCAAUCCCACGCAGCUGGGCAGCAGCAAGCUGGGAGCGACCUGCUCUGCACAAGCAGGGAUGUGGGGAAGAGCGGCACAGAAUGAAAGCAGAGUUCAGACGGAAAUAUUUAAACAUCAGCAUGGAAAAAUCUGACUCAGUCGGGACUCUGUGUUUGAUAUUUUAUCAGCAGAGGCCUAUUAUUUAGUUUGCACGUUAACUCACUUUCCUUGCCAUGAUUGUUGUGAUUACCUCCUCCCAAGUUUUCUUCUCAAGAAGUUGCCCGUGUGGAAAAACAUGGGAAUGUGUAGGUUUGUGCAAGUCUUGUUUUCUUGGACUUAGAACUUGGAUUCUUUAAAUGUACAAACAAGACUGAUGGUAUUCUAUGUCUUUUAUAUGAGAAGUAUCUCUUUGAUGAGGUUUAGAAAACAGAAAAAAAUAUUCUGGUUUGUAAUACAGAAAUAAGGUGAGAUGUUUCCUUGGAUUGUAGUUGUAUCUUAAAUGUAAUGGUCACUGGUUGCAUCUGGGGAUGUUUGAAAUGUGGAAUUACUGGCUAUUUGAAAAUCUGCAGGAAAAGAAAUGAAAUUACAUUAAGUCCAGUAACUUUCUUUCAUUUCCAAAAGUGCCUUGUGAAUUUGGGGUGACUACAGGAGACAGCCUGGAAACCCAGAUUUUUAAGAAAGUAAUGGCUGGGCAAACGUUGAAAAUCAGAAUUUAGUUGAACCUCUCUGUUGCUCCCCGGAAAUGAAGGCGUGUAAAAUCACAUUUUUUUUCUGACCAUUUCUAAAGCAGCGUUACAGGCAGAACAGGCUGUUAUGUGGUCUUUCUGCAGCAUCUCAUGACCUUACUAAGAUCAGGAGGUUGCUAUGUCAUUCUCAUUCUCAAUUACACAGUACCUUUCUUUUUUGCAUCAUUCCAGCUCGUUUUCUGACCUAGGACAUCUUUUAUUUUCUUAUGGACUGAGUGUGUUAUGAUCUUAAGAACUGGGCACGGGCGUGAAGGUCAGAACAAUUGCCUUCUAUUUCUCUCUGUUGCUGAGUGAUGGACUCAAAAUCCUUGCCUCUGUGUUAACCUAUCUGCAAAAAUGGAGAUAAUGCUGCUAUAGGCUUCUGUGAAGCACUUAGAGGGUUAUCUUUUUUGAUAGGCUGCUUCUUAGAGAAGGAUAAAAUGACUUGAGUGCUUGUGCCAAAACUAGACUGCACUGAACAUUUGGAGAAAUUGAUUUUAAUUUAAAUUUUCACUCUUGCUGCUAGCGAAAGCCAGAAGGGAAGAAGUAUUUCAAAAAGCAGGCUUCACUAGCUUGCUUCUUUUAGGGCUCCUGGAAAGCAGGAAGUGCAGCAGUUCUUAUGAAAGAGAUGCAACCCCUGAUUUUAAUGAAUAAAGUUGGAGAAUUGCCUACAAGUCAGCAUUCUUAUUUAAACUAAGCCUCAAACCCCACUGCUGGUGUUUAAGGACAGUCCGAUGAGGUGCUAAAAAUACUCUGUUCCUCCAUCCCUUUUCAAUUAGGGAUUGCUAAUUUGAGCUAAAACUCUUACGAGAUUCCUAAUGAUAGGACUUUGAAUGGAGACAAGACCAGAAAAAUACUGGUAUGCUAUGCAGCACCUUUAUAGGGCAGUGAUGGCAGAAGUCCUGGGUAUAGGUCACUUCUGUUAGUACCAGCUCCUUGCUGGUGCCAAGCUGAUGUCGAUGGCUGGCUAUCCCUGCUCUCCAUGGGUCCCAAGCUCCAGAGAAGACUUCUCUGUCACGCUGGAAGUGAUGUCCCCAAGCACCGUGGGCACGGGAUGAGUGGGUUCUGCUUCACCAGGGCCUGGCCGCUGCCCAGCCUGCAGCCCGUGGGAGUAGUGGCCAAGGUAAGGAGCUCCUGCCUGCUGCGCAGCACCCUGCGCCGUGUCACCUGCUGCUGCUUCUGUGAGAGCUGCUCGAGGUUUAAAGUUGGGUUUGAGCAGUCAGAUCGCCAUAAGGCCUUACAAAGGGAAACAAAGGCUGAAUGCAGUGCUGUAAAGGCGACCGCUAAGGAAGCGGCUCGGUUUGCCUGGAUUUACAGCCUUCUGGGACCAUCCCAAAUGCACUGCCCAGCUUCUGCCUUCAAAAGAAAAGUGUCCUCUUGCUCUGUUUUCAGCCCAGUGUCUGCCCACCCCCUCCAUCUUUUUUUGAAGCCACCAUUUUCUUCGUAUGCUUAUUCUCAAGGAUUUUUUGUCAUUAUAUCAUGCUUCUCAGAAGAGUUGCUUUAAAAAAAAAAAGAAAAAAAAAGACAGCCUCUUGUCAGAGGAAUGUGCAAGCAGAGUACAUUUAAGAGCCACAUUCUGUGCUGCCAUGGCAACUGGAGUUUUAAAAAUGAUACCAUCGGUGUUCCAAAAUGAUGCAACCUACAAUGAACAUCAGGAAUAAUUAAGAAAAGUAGAGUGCGCUCUGUGCUGAGGAGGGGAAGCAGUGAGGGGACCUUUUCUCUGCUGAUAAGGGGAACUGUUCCUCUUGUUAUUAUUUUCUUCUUUUCUUUCCUGCGAGUGCCGUCUUCUGUUUGGGUUUUUGUGCCUGUGCUGGCGAUGCCCUCACGGCAGUCGAAGGAUGUUUGUUAGAACCUGUCAUGUUUGGCCCUGCUGGUUCUGUGGACGGCCUGCUGAUGAUGCUGAAGAACCAAUUAAUUUAUUUUUAAUAACAGCAGUGCCGGGGUGCAGCUCUGUGGAGGUCGUGUCCCAGGGGCCCACUGCUGGCCUUCUUGCAGCAGCAGUUCCGAUAGCGAGGGAUUCCUGCCACAGCCUGGGAUCUCUCAUAAGCAAAGCCGUGCGCUCAGCAUCACCCCUUGUUGUUCUUCAUCCCCAGCUUCCAUUAUCCCACCAGCAAUGCAGAGGGAGCAAUAAAAAAUGGAAGUCCCGGGGCAGAUGAUGGUGCAUGGAGGAGUCAAGAGGGCUUGAAAAUGGCAAAGGUCACAGGUUAAGACCCUUUGCUGGGAAGAACAGAAGCAGUCUGGGCUUGUUAAUGCAGUGACUGGGAGUUUUAGUAUUGGGUAGAGAAAGUGAGGAGGCUGGGAAAGGAGAGCAGCCCAGGCUCUCUGUGAAGUCUCAAGAAGCUUAAUUGUGAAUAUUACCGCUAAUCCAAUGAACUGGAUACCUCCUCUACCUUUUUUUUUUUUUCUUUUUCCCCAUGCCAAAAAUUAACCUUUCCUGGAUAAACUGUUCAGUCUGUUUAGGAGAAUAAGACUGAAUCCUGCUGUUUCCAGGAAACCAAACAAGAGACCAUAUCUGCUAAUUAAAUUACUAAAACCCAAAUAGCCAUGAAAUUUCCAAACAGGACUGCUUACUCUGGGGAAGAUUAUUGCAUUUCCAGUCUGAGGAUAAGCCUGCCUUUAUCGGUCAAUGUCAGGUUCUCCUAUUGGUACCUCAGGUGUAGUUACCCACUGACCAGGAACCCUAAACAUGGGUUGGUGUGUGCAGGUAAAACAGUGUAACUGCCCCGACUUCCUGGAAAGCUAUAGCUGUCUGGCUGUUUCCUGCUACACACAUAUUAUGGUUUCUGUGCCUUGCAGCCUUGAGAAGCAUUCUGUAUUCUUUCAAGGUUGUUUAAUGAUAUAUUUUAAACAAACAACAAUUAAAAAAAAAAUAAGCCAGAAGCGAACAGUGCAAGGACAGCUCUCCCUGCCUGCCCUGAGGAAGGCACAUGGCAGCAGUGCUGCUGCCACCACCAUCCCUGCCCAGGGAGCACCACCCUCUGUGUGCUGCUGGGAGUUCCUUCAUCUGAACUGGUACGCACCGAGUUCAUGCCCCAACCACUUCCCAAAAGGCUGGUAUUAUAAGAAUCUGAUUUCUUUUUUCUUUUGCUGAUGAGACAGAUUGAAAGUGUGUUUUAUGGGCACACCCUUUCAGGUUUCUGUAUCUCCUAGCUUGCAUUAAUUUUUAAUCACUUCCUCCAGUUGGCAUGCAACAACACCUCUGAGGACUGGCUGCAUUUAUUCUCAGGCAAGCACUACUCAGCCUUCUUUAUCAAAAAAUCUAAGGUGACAUGACCUUAAAAACUUAAGAAAAUGGAUUGUGAUUUCAGGUACACUGGUAUGCAUUUGCUCCAGGGGAGCAAUACGAGCUUCGCUGAGAUCAGAAUCUGCCUGCAAAAAGCCUUACAGUGUAGAACAAAUUUGAGCUUCUGGAUUUUCUGGCCUGUUAUGUGCAUCUGUUAGCAGAGGAUUCAUUGUGCAUAAUUCCCGAAUUGCUGCUCUCUUUUCAGGCAAGAAUCCUAUUGGUGCAGGGUUUCAUUUACUCUAUUGUUCUGAAGGUUGAAACUCAUCAUAUUUCAGCAGGCAAAAUGAAUGCUUAGGAGAAUGUGUGUGUCUGUAUAUGGAUACACAUUCAGAAUGUCUAUAUAUAUGAACCCCUCCAUGGUGAUUAAGCGUGCCGUUUCAUUCCCCAGGUGAUGUGCCAAAUUGAUUCCAGUUAGAACAUGUAACUGGAGAGCUAGCAUAGAGGAAGGGAUGGGCAGUACAUGGGAAGUGAGUAACCUUCUGUGUGAAGGGUGGGCCCACAGCUUUCAGAAAAGCAGCAGGCCCUGCAUCUGUAGGAUCCAAAGGCUCUGCUCUAAUGUUCUGUUUUCAGAUGCUGUGGCAGCAGGUCGCAGUGCUGGAACCUCACAACCAGCGUAGCAGCCUUUGCUGCUGGUCUGCAGGCUGAACAUUCAGGUCAGAACCCAACAGAAGCUCAAGGUAAAGGUUGGGGUGAAGCGAUGUGCGCCUGCAUGCACAGAAAUGCAGAAGUUGAAAGCCUCUGCCAUGCAAAUGCGCCUUUAAACCACUGGCAGGGGGUUGCCUGUCCCGAAGGCACAGGAGGAAGUCAUGCAGCGCUGGUGAAUGGGUUUGCCUUGGCCGCGGUCCCAGCCAGGGAAAUUGCGCGACAAUUUUAGGGCAAAGGUUCCCCUUGGGUGACAUUCUACUGUAUUUCAAAUGCGCCGUGCGUGCGCUGAGCCCUGCGCGGUGCUCCUCUGCCCCGAGACAAACAAGGCUCAGAGAAUUACCGAGCUGCGUGAUGGGGAUGACCCCGCUUGUCGCUGAAUGACAAAGGAGCGGCUGUGCUGGCCGGACAAGAGCGUGCUGGCAGCUGUGCACAACUAACAGAUCUCUGGGCAGGCUCGUCACCCAGCGUCGCUUUUAUGUACGCAUCUGCACAGGUACACGGCGCGCCGUCAGUGCGGCUGGACGGAGCCCAGAUGCCUAUUGAAGGACACGUGACGCGUCUCGCAUGCCGGUGUGUCAUUCCGGAAAACCACACGUGGAUUUACCAGGCCGUGGAGGCCGAGCUGCCUCUCGUUCCCGGGCCUCCCUGCUGCGGCUCCGAGGAUGCCUGCGAAAUGCGUCAGCCCUGGCGCGGCGGUGAGCCGGGCAGACGGGGCGGCUGCGCGCAGGACGGAACAGCCGCAGUCUGGGCUCCCAGCCUCCUGGCUAGACUGGAGAAACUUCUAAUUGAGUUCCUGAGCCUCCCCUCCCCUCCCUGCAGCUCGGCUGAAAAACACCCUGGCUGCCAGCCAUGCCCUUUCACAGUGACCUUGCCUGCAAAUAGCACGCAGGAAUUUUUACAGGCACUGUGUGCACUUGGAAAAAGGGUUGGGGGUGUCAGGAGGGAGCCUGGAAGGGAGCGGUGCUGCUCCUCUGGGAUUAAAGGCUCGAUCCCGUUGCCUUCCGCCCCCCAGCAAAACUGCUCAGACCUUGAUUUGCAGAUUUCAUUUCUUUGUGCUUGCUCUUUUUUUAUGAUGCUCUGGAUUAAUUUCUCUCUUCUGAUUCCACGACAAAUUAUAAGUCUCUAAAGAUUGAGGUAGAUGAUGGGUUUAAAGGAAAUUGUUUAAAACAGGGGAAGGAUGAUAUGUGAUAUGCCUAGGCUCCUUCUGCAUGUGAUUAUUCUUUGGCAUACAUGUUAAAAUACGUACAUGAGAUACUGAGGGAGAGAAAGUGCAUAUACGUGCAUGUGCAUAUAUAUAUAUAUAUAAAGUCCAUCUAUCCAGUUAUGCACGAACAUAAUGUAAAAUGAUACUAGCAAUGGCUGUCCACUUAGUAUAUAUACAUAAAAAGCAGCAACAGCCAUUGGUUAAAAAUAACCCCAAAUUCUUCUCUCAGAUUACUUAAAUUAAACUUAGAACAUUUGAUGUAAAAAGUUAGGCCCUUAGAUUCCAUUUAAGAAUAAUUAAUUACUGCUUCUGGGCCACUGUGAUCCGGGCAAUAGAGAUCACAGGGUUAGGGACACAGGAGCAACGCAUCAUGUUGCAUCUGACCCUUGUGGCACAUAGAACAAGCCACCUUGGCUUCUACACCUUCUGCCAUCAGUAUUAAGGCUAAUUACAAGGUUUUUUUGGGAGGAUGAGUGUUGUAUGGUGUGACCAAUGUAAGCAUAGGCAUCCCCUGAGCCUUUGCUGGGGCCUCUGGGAGUGCUGCAGCAGUGUUACUGCCCUUGUAUUUUCAUUUGUAGCCUUGAAAGCCAGGCAGAAAUGCUCUUGCUGUUCCGUCCUGCGGUGUCACAAGCUUUGUUCCUCCUGUAGCUGUGCAGACUCUUGGAUUUGAAGGUGUUCAGCACUUCUCAGGAUCACACUUUUCACACAUUGCAGUGUGUCAGUUGUAUCAGGCUCUUUAGACUUAUAUUAUGACUACUUGAUACAAAAAGGAAAAUUGAUUAUAUAGAAGCAACUUUAAUUAAAACUUGUUUUUCUUGUCUGCUAUCCUAUGUUUAUGUCUGUGGCAACCCAUUCCGUGUAGUCAGCAAGCUUCUUUUCACUGCUUUGAGAAAUUCAGCUGUUGCAAUCAAAGGUAAUUUUGUUUGUGCAAGAUAUUCAUCUCCAAAGGAAGGGCCAAGAGUAGGGGUGAAAGAGAGGACAGUAGGCAGAUAACUUAAGUGUUUCUGCUAGGCCUUUCUGACAACCCCUGUAAUUCUUUAAUGGCUUCCUAAUAAAGUUUAACAUAAUUAUGUAUGAGAGUUUUUUUGGAUCACUUUUCUGCUCAGUGUCUUGAAGGGUAUGAAAAAGAAGCAGUCAGAACCAGAAGAGAUGUGUGUAUUUCUCAGUGCUGCGUUAAUAUGAUGCUGCUGCAGUCUGAGCUCUUAUCUUUUAUACUGAAAGGGAGUAAUGGACUAAAUGUCAUUAUGUAAACCCAACUGUAAGAUUCAUUGAUGCACAUUAUGUUCCUGGCAACCUGUAUGUAAGCAACCCAGAGACUCAGGGUUUUGAUACCUAAAGAAAAAGGGAUUCUUCUGUUACAGGAUAGAAUUUGCUUAGUGUGACUUUUUCCGAGACAUAUGGUGCAGCAGCACCUGUUUUAUAAGCAUGAUCUCAGUGCAGAGAGAGCAGAUCAUCCAGAAUAGAGGAAAUUUCAUCUCUUUCCCAUAGUUCCACCUGGCCACCACCUGCUCCCCCAUGGAAUUGGCCCCAUUCCUGGGGCUCGCCACGCCGCUCCUGGGAGGAAGCUGGGGCAGACAGCGAGCACAGAGUGCCGGGUAGGCAGAGGGGCCUGGGAAGAGCAGCUCAGGCAGGAGGCAGGCUGUGUCGUGUUGGCUGGCUGUCACCAAGGGGUGUUGACUGGCCUGAGGGCCGUCGGCUGUCGCUCCUCGUCUACCUGGUGCAGCAAUCUGAGUAGCUGGGUGUAAAACGGCUGGUAAUUCACAUCUGAAGAAAGAUCCAUUGCCGUUUGAUAACGCACUGGCAGCUCGGAAGUUUCCAUCCUUCCAGUCCUGCAUCACAGAAUGCUGGUGAUAACAGCUGGGAGUAUCCAAGUGUAGUUGGCAGUGAUGUUCACGCACCAGGGAUAAACAUCCCGACAAAACUGCCGUGUUUAUUUCCAUGUGGAUGUUACUGCUUGGUAAAUUCCAACACAUCUGGUUGUUACCACUGAGAUUUGCCAAUAAAAAGAAGGGUAUUUUGUCUCAUUUUUCAGAGAACAAAUUAAGCGUGGCUGCUCUUGCAAAGAAGAUUUGAAAAGUUCACAGAUUUUAUUCCUCCUUUUCUCCAUUCACCCUACCUCCCUUGAGUUUAAUCACCUUUCUUCACUUACUUGGUGUGACCACAAAUAUUUGAUCAUGGUUUCCUAACUUAAUUCAACCACACUGGUGAUCAUGGUGAAUGUUAGCAGCUUCAGAAGGAAGAGCUGCAUUAACAUAACGAACCUGCAUGGAGCUGCUUCGUUAACGGAGCGCUUGGCUGAAGCACGUCCUGCUGGGUCAGUUGGGAAUGGUGCCCCUGGGUUUCAUUAAUCUGCAGUGGAUUUAUAGGUAUGGAAUGUCAGGCCCUGAAGCGAGUUCAAAAAUUAAGUUGUUCGUCAUAAUUUUUAAGUCUUACAUAUUGCACAGGUCAAUGGUUUACUAUGGCAGGUCACCAUUAUCCCUAGUUUUCCUCUGGGUAAAGUGAAGCACAGGGGAACAGCCGCAGUUCGCUGGUGGAAUCAAUGCAGCUGGGAAUCUGCUUGUUCCUGUCCCAGCCUUGUGCCUCACUUCUCCCUCUGCCACCCACGUAGUGUUGAACAGGGCUUGCUGUAGGUUGGUGUUAGAGGAUGGAUGGACACCUUCUCCUUUAGCGUGUAGGGAAGGGGAAAAGAAGGACAUCCGGAGAAGAAAGUGACUUACGUGUUCUUGGCAUGGCUGAGACCGUCUGCAAAGAGUUUGCUUGAACAUGCUGCAAGUUGGAGCCAAAAGAGACAGCCAGCUAGCGUGGUGCAGCUCUUGUUGAUCUGCAGCAUUAAUUUAAGCUUCUUUCCAUGUUACUGCAUUUUCACUUCCUUUUCUAGAAGAACAGCAAACCGUAGAUAAAUGCUGCUCUUAUUGCCUGUGUGCCCCACGUGCAUGCUGCAGCGCUGGGGAGAAUCUGGGCAAGGGGGAGAUAAGUAAACCACCUCUGUUUGAUGAGAAUAACUUAUUUUUGCUUUGGUUCCAAAACAUUCCUUUCUUAUAUUGAAAGCUGUAAUGGUUGCCUUGAUGUAUGGAGGACCAUGUGAAAUUGUCUUUUAUUCACAGUGGGUUUCCUUAUACUCUGAGAGGUUUAAUGCAUGCCUACAUAAGAUGUCAGAAAAAUACAUAGGAAGUCUGCCUUAUUGAGCUUUCCUAUAGUUCGUCCUAUGUAUGUUAAGGCACAUGUACACUGUUCAAAUAGAGUUUGUUUGGAACGCUGGUGGGUUUAGUGGAGGAAGAUGAGGCCAAGAUGGCCUUUGUUAGCUGCUCUCUGUAAUCUAGUUUGUGGCUUUGGCCUCUCGCCUCUCUUGAAUUUGUUUUCAAACAUUCCAGAUAUUAAGAAAGUGAUAGAUACGGGGUUUGGAUGACUGCAUCCAUAGAGAAGUGGACAUCUGCAAGCAGGAUCCUCAGCAGUCGUCUCAAUGUGAGCUGCUUUUGUUGGUUAGAACCAGCAGCCUUAUUGGCAAAGGUGCAUCCUUGGGCUGUGCAAGCACAAGCAGAGCGUGUUCUUACACCUGUGGCUGGGCUAAGCAGAGCUCGCACCAUUAUAGAAGCCAUUUGUUUGCCAUCUAUUCUUACGGGGCCCUUUUUGUUUACUUUGAAGCUCCUUUAUGCUGCCGUAAGGAGAUUUAAUGCAAUCUGAGUGCAAUUUAGAAUGCGCGGUCCGUCACCAGCUUCCGAGCACAUAAAUGGGAAAAUUAACAGCUGUUCUCCAGUGUAGCUGAUUUCCUGAGGACCACCUCUCUCCCCCUCUAAAUGGGACACGGAGAUGAUUGUGACACGUGCUGCUGGAACACAGCAGUCAGAGCUGACCCUCUGAACCAUCCCGAAGUCCAACAGCAUUAAAAAGCUCCCGGUGCCGCCUGCCAAGUGCGUGUUAUCGUGGUGUCUCCGAGCUGUGUAGCCCUUUACAGAUAAGGAGAGCUCAAGAAGCAAACUGAAUGUUUAAAUUGACUCAACCUUUGUGAAGCCUUUAUCCGUUCUGGAGGAGAGCGACUAAGUGAAACCAGGGAAGUCAGCCUGCAGUACCCAGCUUACAGCUCAUGCUGUAGGAUCGUUUUCACAAAGAACACUGCAUGUUCAGAGCAGAUUGGGAGUGGCAUCAUGAAUUCUGGAGCCGGGACAAUGGCUGCUUUUUGCAGUGCACAGAAGUGCAAAAUGACUGGGCAGCGUCACAGAACAUUUGGGGCUCUUCAGACUGUUUCUAGAAGUGUCAAGCCCUUAGAGUGCUAGGAUUUGGAUACCUUACAGGGAUUUAAUUUUCAUAAAGUGCUGAAUACACACUCUGAAAAACAGGAUGCUUGAAACUUGUCAUAUGAAAAACCUCAGUUGUUGCCUUUCAAAAAAUGUUUGCUCUUUGGCCAGUUUUUCAAAUGUCAUGAUGAUGGUAUUAAAAAAAGCAAUCAAAUACAGACUAUACAGCAUUCAA